This 515-nucleotide long non-coding RNA is filed under the name Brassica napus (rape). RNAcentral's name for it is "long non-coding RNA (BNAP_LNC013601)". The record is from RNAcentral. Lineage: Eukaryota; Viridiplantae; Streptophyta; Magnoliopsida; Brassicales; Brassicaceae.
ACAACGAGAUAAUAUUCAAGUGAAUCUCAACACUGUAUCCUAACACAGAAAAUGAGCCUGCAGUUAUUAUAGCAAUAAUAAUUUAUUGGUCUCAUCACCAUGAGAGUCGUGAACAAAUUUCUCUUACAUGUUUCCUCACCAACUGCUCUAUCAAUGUCUUUUCUGAGCUUUGCUGUUUCAACUCGCACAUGGGAUGAAUUGGGAGUGAACCGACCAAAGACGGUGAAGCUAUCCAACGGUGAUUGUGGUAUUUGCCGCAUGGACGAGAUUACUCUCUUUGCAUCCGUUAGAAACACAUAGGCAAUGGUUCAUCGGAGACGACGAGAUUCCCCAGUUAGCAGCGACAUCGCUUCCGAUUAUGGAUUUAUGGGAGAUCGAAAUUCUUCUAUGCAAUUAAGUUAUCGCAUCCACCAAUUAAAUUUUUUUCAAUCUGAUAUUUAGAAUGUGAGAUAUGAGAGAGGAGAGAGGUAGAAGAAGGAUUUUUGGUCCAAGAGGAUGAAAGGUUUUCACGGCGG